Molecule: ribosomal RNA, 860 nt
Filed under: uncultured bacterium
Lineage: Bacteria
Description: SSU rRNA
Rfam family: Bacterial small subunit ribosomal RNA
Source: RNAcentral
UACGGGGGGAGCAAGCGUUGUCCGGAAUUACUGGGCGUAAAGGGCGUGUAGGCGGUAUUGUAAGUCAGAUGUAAAAGGUUACGGCUUAACCGUAGAGUGUCAUUUGAAACUGCAGUACUUGAGUACGAGAGAGGGUAGUGGAAUUCCCAGUGUAGCGGUGAAAUGCGUAGAUAUUGGGAAGAACACCAGUAGCGAAGGCGGCUACCUGGCUCGUAACCGACGCUGAUGCGCGAAAGCGUGGGGAGCGAACAGGAUUAGAUACCCUGGUAGUCCACGCCUUAAACGAUGAGCACUAGGUGUUGGUCCCGACGUGUCGGGAUCGGUGCCGCAGCAAACGCAUUAAGUGCUCCGCCUGGGGAGUACGAUCGCAAGGUUGAAACUCAAAGGAAUUGACGGGGGCCCGCACAAGCGGUGGAGCAUGUGGUUUAAUUCGAUGCAACGCGAAGAACCUUACCGGGGUUUGACAUGAUAGUGAAGAAUGCAGAGAUGUAUUUGCCUUUCGGGGCGCUAUUACAGGUGCUGCAUGGCUGUCGUCAGCUCGUGUCGUGAGAUGUUGGGUUAAGUCCCGCAACGAGCGCAACCCUUGCCCCUAGUUGCCAGCAAGUAAUGUUGGGGACUCUAGGGGGACAGUCGGCGAUAAGCCGGAGGAAGGUGGGGAUGACGUCAAGUCCUCAUGGCCCUUACAUCCCGGGCUACACACGUGCUACAAUGGCCGGUACAACGGGUAGCGAUACUGCGAAGUGGAGCCAAUCCCUAAAAACCGGUCUCAGUUCGGAUUGCAGUCUGCAACUCGACUGCAUGAAGUCGGAAUCGCUAGUAAUCGCGGAUCAGCUCGCCGCGGUGAAUACGUUUCCGGGCCU